This 251-nucleotide ribosomal RNA is filed under the name uncultured bacterium. RNAcentral describes it as "partial 16S ribosomal RNA". It matches the Rfam family "Bacterial small subunit ribosomal RNA", at positions 103 to 354 of the family's 1533-position model. The record is from RNAcentral.
CUGGUGAGUAACGCGUGAGGAACCUGCCUUUCGGAGGGGGACAACAGUUGGAAACGACUGCUAAUACCGCAUGAUACAUUUGGGCCGCAUGGUCUGAAUGUCAAAGAUUUAUCGCCGAAAGAUGGCCUCGCGUCUGAUUAGCUAGUUGGUGGGGUAACGGCCCACCAAGGCGACGAUCAGUAGCCGGACUGAGAGGUUGGCCGGCCACAUUGGGACUGAGAUACGGCCCAGACUCCUACGGGAGGCAGCAG